This 460-nucleotide ribosomal RNA is filed under the name uncultured bacterium. RNAcentral describes it as "partial 16S ribosomal RNA". It matches the Rfam family "Bacterial small subunit ribosomal RNA", at positions 338 to 795 of the family's 1533-position model. The record is from RNAcentral.
UCUACGGGAGGCAGCAGUGAGGAAUAUUGGUCAAUGAACGAGAGUCUGAACCAGCCAAGUAGCGUGAAGGAUGACUGCCCUAUGGGUUGUAAACUUCUUUUAUAAAGGAAUAAAACGAGACACGUGUGCCUUUUUGCAUGUACUUUAUGAAUAAGGAUCGGCUAACUCAGUUACAGCAGCCGCGGUAAUACGGAGGAUCCGAGCGUUGUCCGGAUUUAUUGGGUUUAAAGGGAGCGUAGAUGGGUUGUUAAGUCAGUUGUGAAAGUUUGCGGCGUAAACGUAAAAUUGCAAUUGAUACUGGCAGUCUUGAGUACAGUUGAGGUAGGCGGAAUUCGUGGUGUAGCGGUGAAAUGCGUAGAUAUCACGAAGAACUCCGAGUGCGAAGGCAGCUUACUAAACCGCCACUGACAUUGAUGCUCGAAAGUGUGGGUAUCAAACAGGAUUAGAUACCCGUGUAGUC